CGCUGGCGGCGUGCUUAACACAUGCAAGUCGAACGGAAAGGCCCCCUUGUGGGGUACUCGAGUGGCGAACGGGUGAGUAACACGUGAGUAACCUACCCUUGACUUUGGGAUAACUUCAGGAAACUGGGGCUAAUACCGGAUAGGAGCUCCUGCUGCAUGGUGGGGGUUGGAAAGUUUCGGCGGUUGGGGAUGGACUCGCGGCUUAUCAGCUUGUUGGUGGGGUAGUGGCUCACCAAGGCUUUGACGGGUAGCCGGCCUGAGAGGGUGACCGGCCACAUUGGGACUGAGAUACGGCCCAGACUCCUACGGGAGGCAGCAGUGGGGAAUAUUGCACAAUGGGCGGAAGCCUGAUGCAGCAACGCCGCGUGCGGGAUGACGGCCUUCGGGUUGUAAACCGCUUCCGCCUGUGACGAAGCGUGAGUGACGGUAAUGGGUAAAGAAGCACCGGCUAACUACGUG
RNAcentral lists this ribosomal RNA (459 nucleotides) under uncultured bacterium. RNAcentral describes it as "bacterial SSU rRNA". It matches the Rfam family "Bacterial small subunit ribosomal RNA", at positions 34 to 507 of the family's 1533-position model. The record is from RNAcentral.